This 465-nucleotide ribosomal RNA is filed under the name Vreelandella stevensii. Its description in RNAcentral is "partial 16S ribosomal RNA". It matches the Rfam family "Bacterial small subunit ribosomal RNA", at positions 338 to 795 of the family's 1533-position model. The record is from RNAcentral. Lineage: Bacteria; Pseudomonadati; Pseudomonadota; Gammaproteobacteria; Oceanospirillales; Halomonadaceae.
CCUACGGGGGGCUGCAGUGGGGAAUAUUGGACAAUGGGGGGAACCCUGAUCCAGCCAUGCCGCGUGUGUGAAGAAGGCCCUCGGGUUGUAAAGCACUUUCAGUGAGGAAGAACGCCUGGUGGUUAAUACCCAUCAGGAAAGACAUCACUCACAGAAGAAGCACCGGCUAACUCCGUGCCAGCAGCCGCGGUAAUACGGAGGGUGCGAGCGUUAAUCGGAAUUACUGGGCGUAAAGCGCGCGUAGGUGGCUUGAUAAGCCGGUUGUGAAGGCCCCGGGCUCAACCUGGGAACGGCAUCCGGAACUGUCAAGCUAGAGUGCAGGAGAGGAAGGUAGAAUUCCCGGUGUAGCGGUGAAAUGCGUAGAGAUCGGGAGGAAUACCAGUGGCGAAGGCGGCCUUCUGGACUGACACUGACACUGAGGUGCGAAAGCGUGGGUAGCAAACAGGAUUAGAUACCCGAGUAGUC